RNAcentral lists this ribosomal RNA (810 nucleotides) under Phaeorrhiza sareptana. Its description in RNAcentral is "SSU rRNA". It matches the Rfam family "Bacterial small subunit ribosomal RNA", at positions 375 to 1215 of the family's 1533-position model. Lineage: Eukaryota; Fungi; Ascomycota; Lecanoromycetes; Caliciales; Physciaceae. The record is from RNAcentral.
CCUAACGGCUGAACCAGCAACUUGGAGGAAUGUAUAGCGAAAGCUAGUUGCAUUUAACAUAGCGAAAGCUAUGUUUAUGCAGUAUUGACUAUGUCGAAUAAAGUUCUAGGUGGGUUAUGAUGAUGACAUUUCCUAUCUAUGUGUCUUGACCAAAUUACGUGCCAGCAGUCGCGGUAACACGUAAAAGACUAGUGUUAUUCAUCUUUAAUAGGUUUAAAGGGUACCUAGACGGUAAAUCAAGUCCGGUAAGGGUACUAAUUUUACUAGAGUUUAAUGUGAGGGGGCACUAAAGUACUGAUAAGUGUAGAGAUGAAAUUCUGUGAUACAAUAUAUGGCACUGGCAAAGGCGAAAGCAUCUCAUUAUGUAAUAACUGACGUUGAGGACGAAGGCUAGGUGAAGCAAAAAGGAUUAGAUACCCAAGUAGUCUUAGCAGAAAAUUAUGAAUGUCAUAGGAUGGAAAGAUGGAUGGACAAACAACAAAUUUUUUUUCUAUAAAUGAAAGUGUAAGCAUUCCACCUCAAGAGUAAUUUGGCAACAUUGGAACUGAAAUCAUUAGACCGUUUCUGAAACAAGUAGUGAAGUAUGUUGUUUAAUUUGAUGGUCCGCAAAAAACCUUACCACAAUUUGAAUAGAAAAAUUUUUUCAUACAAGCGCUGCACGGUUGUCUUCAGUUAAUGUCGUGAGAUCUUGGUUAGUUCCAUUAAAUUAACGUAAACCCUUACUCUAUUUUUAUAUAGAGUAGUUCACCGCUAGAUUGGAUGUGAUAACAGGGACUAAGACAAGUCAUCAUGGCCUUAAUAUUGUGGGCU